UAUUCAUGUGUUUUUAGAAUCAUGUGAAUUAACCUCCACUGAAGGCAUUAGACUCGGCAGACAGCAUGGGGUUCAACUUAAUAGGCGUAAGUCUAAAGCAACAUAGAUUUGCAAUACCCUUUUCUGACAAAUCGUGCUGGCUCAUCAUAGAGUUAAAGACUCAGGAGGCUCGUCAUCAGCCAAACUAAAAAGUGAUAGUAGUUCGGCCCAUGUAAACUGGGAAAAGGCCCUCACAUUCAAGAUCCAGCUCCAGACUGUUCACCUCAAACUGACUACUAGCUCCAGACUGUUCACCUCAAACUAACUACUGUUGCAAGGUCUCAGACAAGAAAAUAUGUGAGCUAUUGGACACAGAACACCACCACCGAUGAUCAACUGCUGACCAAAUGGAUAAGAUUUCGAUCUCUACCAACUCUUAUAAAUCUUAAUAAAUCCCUGUUGAAUGGCAUGGAUACUGUGCCAACCCCAAGUGUUGAAAACGCCUUUAUACAAUGAAAGGUAUUGGCAGAACUGCUGUUAUUGCCUACAUACAAACUGUAGGGUUUAGCAGAGCCAGAUUAGAACUCUUGACAGAUAUAUACACUACUAAUCGAAUCCAAGCCAACCAAAAUGGCCUUACAGUGGUGCACCUGAUGAAACUAGUUUGUGAGCAUCAAACUGAACUGCAAUUUACUUGACUCUUGAAGCUUAUUUGAGGUGAACCUAAGGUUCUACUGUCUGCAGCACCGUUUGUUUUACAUUCAAAUGGCCCAUCAGAUCAACUACAGAACUAAACAUUAAAGCUCAACUAGAAUGGUAUCAACCAACACGAGUAUAUUUCUCACUAAGAUAGCUCGUCGUCCCUUCUAACAGAAGGCUCAAAUACUUUGCUAAAUUCUGCAGUUACAGAACAACCUCGAGGAUUAUAGGCCGCAAAACGAUGCAAAUGUUGGGGCCAAGAAGAAACAGCAAACGGGCUAGGAACUCUCAUGUAGGUAACCAUUUGAAAAGAGCUCUUGUGCAUACAGCUCUCGUCGAAAUCCUAACCUUCUUUGAACCUCGGACAGAAAAUGGAAUGUGUAAGACCAACAUAACAGAAACUCAGAAGGAAUAAUGGGAGCUAAGGGAACAUGUACCUGUGCCCAUCUUCUGAAAAAGAUCCACAACACAUACAAAUCCUUCAGUCUAUACUGAAACUUGUGAGAUGAACCCCAAAUACUGAAACUUGUGAGAUGAACCCCAAAUGACAGUUCUGUAUCAAACAACUGCAACCUUCUACUGCCACGUGAAAUCUUCUUCCAGCAGAAUAAUCACCAUUUUCCAGACCAGUUCUGCCUCUAGCUCAUACUUCUUUAGAAGCUCACAUGCUAACAGGUUAAUUUGCCUCACAGAAGCAUUUGUGAGAAUUAAAGAUGACUAAGACAACAAAUCAUGUGGGGUGUAUAAAUAUAUGUUCAACCUGAUAUCACUAAGUCAAUUUUUUUGGGUGCGCCUUGACAGUCAUUGGACUGAAGCACCCAAAGGAAACAAAACCAAAGGUUUCCCACUUGGAAUAUGUUUUAUUCUAUAACCUAUUUGUCCCUUCAACAUUUACUGUAUGAAUUAUACUCGGUCAGAUAAACUUGCAUAUAUUACCAUGUGAUUCAGUACUUCCAUGACACUGAUAGGGAAUCAUGCUUUUCACCAUGUCUCUUUUAAUACUUUUGGCAAACCUGAUGUGGCAUUACUUAA
This 1710-nucleotide long non-coding RNA is filed under the name Triticum aestivum (bread wheat). Its description in RNAcentral is "long non-coding RNA (TAES_LNC022702)". Lineage: Eukaryota; Viridiplantae; Streptophyta; Magnoliopsida; Poales; Poaceae. The record is from RNAcentral.